RNAcentral lists this ribosomal RNA (657 nucleotides) under Salinicola salarius. RNAcentral describes it as "bacterial SSU rRNA". It matches the Rfam family "Bacterial small subunit ribosomal RNA", at positions 129 to 781 of the family's 1533-position model. The record is from RNAcentral. Lineage: Bacteria; Pseudomonadati; Pseudomonadota; Gammaproteobacteria; Oceanospirillales; Halomonadaceae.
CCCGGUCGUGGGGGAUAACGUGGGGAAACCCACGCUAAUACCGCAUACGUCCUACGGGAGAAAGCGGAGGAUCUUCGGACUUCGCGCUAUCGGAUGAGCCUAUGUCGGAUUAGCUAGUUGGUAAGGUAACGGCUUACCAAGGCGACGAUCCGUAGCUGGUCUGAGAGGAUGAUCAGCCACACUGGGACUGAGACACGGCCCAGACUCCUACGGGAGGCAGCAGUGGGGAAUAUUGGACAAUGGGCGAAAGCCUGAUCCAGCCAUGCCGCGUGUGUGAAGAAGGCUUUCGGGUUGUAAAGCACUUUCAGCGAGGAAGAAAGCCUGGUGGUUAAUACCCAUCAGGAAGGACAUCACUCGCAGAAGAAGCACCGGCUAACUCCGUGCCAGCAGCCGCGGUAAUACGGAGGGUGCGAGCGUUAAUCGGAAUUACUGGGCGUAAAGCGCGCGUAGGUGGCUUGGCACGCCGGUUGUGAAAGCCCCGGGCUCAACCUGGGAACGGCAUCCGGAACGGCCAGGCUAGAGUGCAGGAGAGGAAGGUAGAAUUCCCGGUGUAGCGGUGAAAUGCGUAGAGAUCGGGAGGAAUACCAGUGGCGAAGGCGGCCUUCUGGCCUGACACUGACACUGAGGUGCGAAAGCGUGGGUAGCAAACAGGAUUAG